AUGAGUAGCAUAUUUAAAAAACCUGGAUCAUAAAUAAUUGUUUAAUAGGUUAUCAAUUCCCAUCUUUCAUCCCAAUCCCAACUUUUUCUUUAAGACUUUAAUCCUAGCCGCUUCGUUCCCAAUUCCCAUCUUUCAUCAUCCUCUUCUCUCUCUCUCUCUCUCUCCAACCAAACACAACCAAAACCCAGAAAUCCCACCUCAGAAAUCAAGCUCAACCACUUCCCCAACCUCCAAUCCCACCUCCCCUCAGUUUUCGUGUCAAAUCGGCAGAACUCACUGCCCAAUUUCUUGGUGUGCUGUAUUUGCUCACUAUUGUUUGGCUGACUUGGUGGCCUCGAAGAGAAACCUGCGGCAGCUUGUUUUAUUGGUGGGGCCGAAUGAGUUUUGUGUGGAGUUCGAUGGAGGACGUCGACGUCUGCUUCUCUUUUUGUUGUUGGGGCUUGGUUGGUCUUCACCUCUGGUGUUUGUUGGUUGCUGGUUCAUGGUCGCCGGAGCUUGCUUGACGGCGGCUAGGGUUUUCAGGUUUUUAGGUUUUUUUCUUUCUUUUUCGGGCUCAACCCUUGGUUUGGUUGUUGUUGUGCUGGCCCUUUUUUUGUUUGUGGUUAGUUGUGGCCUUUUGUUAUGUACGUAACUUUCUAGUAAUGAAAGUUUACCUUU
RNAcentral lists this small RNA (657 nucleotides) under Malus domestica (apple). RNAcentral describes it as "sRNA MD16G0100800". The record is from RNAcentral. Lineage: Eukaryota; Viridiplantae; Streptophyta; Magnoliopsida; Rosales; Rosaceae.